Molecule: unclassified non-coding RNA, 376 nt
Filed under: uncultured Pseudomonadota bacterium
Lineage: Bacteria; Pseudomonadati; Pseudomonadota
Description: uncultured proteobacterium contains 16S-23S intergenic spacer region
Source: RNAcentral
UCCGAGUUGACCCCGGCAGUCUCCCACGAGUCCCCGGCAUAACCCGCUGGCAACAUGGGAUAAGGGUUGCGCUCGUUGCGGGACUUAACCCAACAUCUCACGACACGAGCUGACGACAGCCAUGCAGCACCUAUAUAACGGCCCGAAGGCUUAAACAUUUCUGCUUAAUUCCGUUACAUUUCGAGCCCAGGUAAGGUUUUUCGCGUUGCAUCGAAUUAAACCACAUGCUCCACCGCUUGUGCGGGCCCCCGUCAAUUUCUUUGAGUUUUAACCUUGCGGCCGUACUCCCCAGGCGGGGUACUUAUCGCGUUUGCUACGGCACUGAAGGGGUCAAUACCUCCAACACCAAGUACCCAUCGUUUACGGCGUGGACUAC